RNAcentral lists this ribosomal RNA (253 nucleotides) under bacterium. RNAcentral describes it as "partial 16S ribosomal RNA". It matches the Rfam family "Bacterial small subunit ribosomal RNA", at positions 524 to 776 of the family's 1533-position model. RNAcentral also lists the same sequence under 2 other names. The record is from RNAcentral.
UACGGAGGAUCCAAGCGUUAUCCGGAAUCAUUGGGUUUAAAGGGUCCGUAGGCGGCCUUAUAAGUCAGUGGUGAAAUCUCCUAGCUCAACUAGGAAACUGCCAUUGAUACUGUAGGGCUUGAAUUUUUGUGAAGUAACUAGAAUAUGUAGUGUAGCGGUGAAAUGCUUAGAUAUUACAUGGAAUACCAAUUGCGAAGGCAGGUUACUAACAAACGAUUGACGCUGAUGGACGAAAGCGUGGGGAGCGAACAGG